This 932-nucleotide ribosomal RNA is filed under the name Salmonella enterica subsp. enterica serovar Paratyphi A. RNAcentral's name for it is "16S ribosomal RNA". Lineage: Bacteria; Pseudomonadati; Pseudomonadota; Gammaproteobacteria; Enterobacterales; Enterobacteriaceae. The record is from RNAcentral.
CAAGACUCAAGCCUGCCAGUUUCGAAUGCAGUUCCCAGGUUGAGCCCGGGGAUUUCACAUCCGACUUGACAGACCGCCUGCGUGCGCUUUACGCCCAGUAAUUCCGAUUAACGCUUGCACCCUCCGUAUUACCGCGGCUGCUGGCACGGAGUUAGCCGGUGCUUCUUCUGCGGGUAACGUCAAUUGCUGCGGUUAUUAACCACAACACCUUCCUCCCCGCUGAAAGUACUUUACAACCCGAAGGCCUUCUUCAUACACGCGGCAUGNNNNNNNNNNNNNNNNNNNNCUGCAUCAGGCUUGCGCCCAUUGUGCAAUAUUCCCCACUGCUGCCUCCCGUAGGAGUCUGGACCGUGUCUCAGUUCCAGUGUGGCUGGUCAUCCUCUCAGACCAGCUAGGGAUCGUCGCCUUGGUGAGCCGUUACCUCACCAACAAGCUAAUCCCAUCUGGGCACAUCUGAUGGCAAGAGGCCCGAAGGUCCCCCUCUUUGGUCUUGCGACGUUAUGCGGUAUUAGCCACCGUUUCCAGUAGUUAUCCCCCUCCAUCAGGCAGUUUCCCAGACAUUACUCACCCGUCCGCCACUCGUCAGCAAAGCAGCAAGCUGCUUCCUGUUACCGUUCGACUUGCAUGUGUUAGGCCUGCCGCCAGCGUUCAAUCUGAGCCAUGAUCAAACUCUUCAAUUUAAAAGUUUGAUGCUCAAUGAAUUAAACUUCGUAAUGAAUUACGUGUUCACUCUUGAGACUUGGUAUUNNNNNNNNNNNNNNNNNNNNCACUCUUGAGACUUGGUAUUCAUUUUUCGUCCGAGGACGUCAAGAAUCCGUAUCUUCGAGUGCCCACACAGAUUGUCUGAUAAAUUGUUAAAGAGCAGGUGCGACGCGGCUUUCAGCUCAUCGUCGCGAGGUGGCGUAUAUUACGCUUUCCUCUUUCAGAGUCAA